CUGGUGUGUACAGGGGGAAAGUUACCGAGCAGUGAUAUGUUCUCUUUGAGUCAAAUAGUUUUCUUGCAUUCCGAAUUCCAGCUUGACCAUUAGCAUUGGAUGCCAGCUUGGUUAUGUAAAAGAGUGAGCCAAUGCAAUUACAUCAUCCAAAGGUGGUGAUGUGAUCUAGAAGCAGCCACAUACAUUGUCUUUGUAAUCCACUGGGAACAUAGCAAACUUACACACACGUGUGCUGAACUAUGUAUAGAGGACACUAUAAUGGUAUAAUGAAAGAAGAGCAAAAUGUCAUCUUAUAAUGUUUACAUUCGCUAUGUAAGCAACAAAGCGCACAGUUUGAGGAUAUAUGUUGUAACAAUGUUUAUUUAAACCUGGAUGGUCAGGUGGUGCUGCUAUAAUUUGUACAGACACACCUGGAGUAACUCUGGCCAGUAUAUAUUUAAGAUGACGCUACAAUAAGUUUCCCUAUAGCUUGUGUUAACAUAAUUUAGAAUGUUGCAGCUUUUAUUAUGUAUUACAGGUUAAAAACGCACUGACUUAAUUUGUAUUUUUUGGGGUUUUCUUGAGGACUUUGGUAUGUGGCACACACAGUGUUCUUCUUGGUUGUUAUGCUGUGCCUCUACCAUUAAAGCUUUUCUAUGUUUUUUUGUUUUUUUUUUGAAAGAUUGAUGUUACUGUAAAUGCAUUGAUGGGUCCAAAUGUGACACUGAUCAGUCAGCUAAUUUUUAUAGUUGAGUUUUUGCAAGACUGCUAUUACUUCUUGCAUUAUUAUUUAGCUGAUUACUUUGACAAGUCAAGUCAAUUUUUACAAAGCUACCGGAUGUGCUGAACAGGAUAAAACACUACAGGCAUGUUCAGGUCUUUAAAUGCAACAUGGAUGUCUGUGGACUAUCCAUUAGAAUAGGAUGGGGUUGACGGUUCUUGACAUCAUUUGUGUAUUUUACGUUGUUUUGACUUGACUGCUACAAACAAUUAUUAUAUUGUGCUCACAUGAUUAUUCUGUUGGUGAUGGUACAACCACUUUAAGAUCCUUUUUUUUUUUUAGAUUUGAAUUAGGGCUCUAUGCCCUAAUUCAAAUGCAUGGUCAUGACCUGUAAGGAUCUGUAUGCCGAGACAUAUUCCACACUGCAUAUCUCUUCACUGACACAGGAGAACAGCAAUGCAUUAGAAUAUCUCCAACCGACCAGUACAGUUUGUCUGUGGAGGAAUUAUAGAGAUUAGGAUAUGCAGCCAUCUGUAUCUCCUAUUAUCACAAGACAAAAUGCACCUAGGUUAUCUCAUAUUUCAGUGCCAGUUUGAUGGGAAACUAUAGUGUAUUUUUGGUCAGCAAAUAAUUUAUUAUUGUAUUAUUAAAAAAAUGAAACACAGAGGCUUGCAUUGCAACUCUCCAUCUGAAAAAGCUAGUUGCCUAUAUUGCGGAGCCAAUCCUGGGCCAGAGUCAUUGAGCCAGAAUGAGUAUGCAGAUAAGGGCAAAUGUCCUUACCUUCGUACAAGUUAGUGACUUAAAUUCAAAGUCACCAGCCACACAACUAGCAUUUUCAGAAUAAGUCAGCAAUAGCAGUCUCCAUGUUCCUCUCAAGAAAGGUUUUAUUUAUAGUAAUUUUUUACAUUUUUUAAUGCCUUCGGUACCAUUUUUACAUUAUUGCUUGCUUUGUAGACACUUAUUUUAAUGUCUUUCAAUGGAAUUAUUCAACAGCUACUAAGAUCUUAAGUCAUGUUGACUGUGUUUUGUUGUCAAGUAGAACCUACUCCUAGGCUUGUAUUUUGAGAAGGUGGGGGAGGUAAAAACACAACCCUGGUGCAUCACUGUGUACUAAGCAAAUAGGGCUACCUAUACAGAAGGAAAUAUUUUUUAAAAACUUGUUUCUACGUAUUAAGUAUUUAUUUUUUAUUUUUUUAAUUAAGCAGGUGUAUAAAAAAUAUUAUUCUAGUUUCCCCUUAAAUGGCACACCAGGUGCAAGACAUCCUGCAGCUUUCUCAGAGAUAUCUACACCCCCGUCUGAUGCUCAUUAACAUGUUAUUUUGCAUGUUUCUCCCUCGUUUUGGAUGGGCUGCCAACACACCAGAAUACAAGAGACAUUCGAGAGAAAUACUUUUUUCCAGAGUAGCACAUCAUAACGCAUAGAUGGCUCCUAUCUGUGUUUUGUGGUAUGCCAAAAUGCCCCAUCAUCAAGGCAUGUUUUUACCAUGUUACCACAAGCAGUGGGAACUUAAACUUAACAACUCUGGUGCCAUUUGCUCUGAAUGGCAACCAAACACACCCUGAAAAAACAUGUUUCCAACCUAAAUUCUUAUGUAAAUCAUUACUUUUGCAACCCCUUUCAUUGCAUUUUUUUUUCAAGGUGAAAAUUAUUUUAUGUUUUACUGUUUUAGGAUAAUGUCAUUUAUUGUAUGAAGGCAUAAAAUUGUAACAUAUGGCAACACGUUUCUCCAGAAAAUUAAAAAAGUUAGAGAUAAGCCAAGAGUACUCUGUGAACAAAAUGCUCUGUAGUAAUGCGCAAAUUUAAUGUGAGAGAAUAACUAACUGACAAAAUGUUAGCAGUUACAAGUCAAGUUUUAAAUACUGUUACUGGAAUACUGUAUAGUACUAUACUCAUAGAGAUUACCUCAAUAAACUAAUAAAAACAUU
Rana temporaria (common frog) is the source of this 2626-nucleotide long non-coding RNA. RefSeq lists it as uncharacterized. The transcript is spliced from 2 exons. The record is from RefSeq and is a predicted model, not a curated record. NCBI's taxonomy places the organism in Eukaryota, Metazoa, Chordata, Amphibia, Anura, Ranidae.